AUACGCAGGGCGCGAGCGUUGUCCGGAAUUACUGGGUGUAAAGGGAGCGUAGGCGGGAGUGCAAGUCAGAUGUGAAAUACAUGGGCUCAACCCAUGGGCUGCAUUUGAAACUGCAUUUCUUGAGUGAAGUAGAGGUAAGCGGAAUUCCUGGUGUAGCGGUGAAAUGCGUAGAUAUCAGGAGGAACACCGGUGGCGAAGACGGCUUACUGGGCUUUUACUGACGCUGAGGCUCGAAAGCGUGGGGAGCAAACAGGAUUAGAUACCCUGGUAGUCCACGCUGUAAACGAUGAUUACUAGGUGUGGGGGGACUGACCCCUUCCGUGCCGCAGUUAACACAAUAAGUAAUCCACCUGGGGAGUACGGCCGCAAGGUUGAAACUCAAAUGAAUUGACGGGG
RNAcentral lists this ribosomal RNA (396 nucleotides) under uncultured bacterium. Its description in RNAcentral is "partial 16S ribosomal RNA". It matches the Rfam family "Bacterial small subunit ribosomal RNA", at positions 523 to 918 of the family's 1533-position model. The record is from RNAcentral.